CCUACGGGAGGCAGCAGUAGGGAAUAUUGCUCAAUGGGCGAAACCCUGAAGCAGCAACGCCGCGUGGAGGAUGAAGGUUUUCGGAUUGUAAACUCCUUUUGUUAGAGAAGAUAAUGACGGUAUCUAACGAAUAAGCACCGGCUAACUCCGUGACAGCAGCCGCGGUAAUACGGAGGGUGCAAGCGUUACUCGGAAUAACUGGGCGUAAAGAGCGCGUAGGCGGGGUAGCAAGUCAGAUGUGAAAUACUAUGGUUUAAACAUAGAACUGCAUUUGAAACUGUUAUUCUAGAGUAUGGGAGAGGUAGGUGGAAUGCUUGGUGUAGGGGUAAAAUCCGUAGAUAUCAAGAAGAAUACUGAUUGCGAAGGCGACCUGCUAGAACAUAACUGACGCUGAUGCGCGAAAGCGUGGGGAGCGAACAGGAUUAGAUACCCGGGUAGUC
Molecule: ribosomal RNA, 440 nt
Filed under: uncultured bacterium
Lineage: Bacteria
Description: partial 16S ribosomal RNA
Rfam family: Bacterial small subunit ribosomal RNA
Source: RNAcentral